RNAcentral lists this transfer RNA (62 nucleotides) under Salpa thompsoni. RNAcentral's name for it is "tRNA-Lys". The record is from RNAcentral. Lineage: Eukaryota; Metazoa; Chordata; Thaliacea; Salpida; Salpidae.
ACUAACUGUAAGUUAAGUAAACUUCUCAUCUUUUAAAUGAGCAAUGCUAAAAGCCUGUAGUA